GACGAACCACACAAACGUUAUUCGGAAUUACUGGGCUUAAAGGGUGCGUAGGCGGCGCGGAAAGUAGGGUGUGAAAUCCCUCGGCUCAACCGAGGAAUUGCGCCCUAAACUACCGUGCUCGAGGGAGAUAGAGGUGAGCGGAACUUAGGGUGGAGCGGUGAAAUGCGUUGAUAUCCUAAGGAACACCGGUGGCGAAGGCGGCAUUCUGGACCAAUAUUGACGCUGAGGAGCGAAAGCCAGGGGAGCAAACGGG
Molecule: ribosomal RNA, 253 nt
Filed under: uncultured bacterium
Lineage: Bacteria
Description: partial 16S ribosomal RNA
Rfam family: Bacterial small subunit ribosomal RNA
Source: RNAcentral